GAUGAAGAACGUAGCGAAAUGCGAUAAGUAAUGUGAAUUGCAGAACUCAGUGAAUCAUCGAAUCUUUGAACGCACAUUGCGCCCGCCAGUAUUCUGGCGGGCAUGCCUGUUCGAGCGUCAUUUCAACCCUCAAGCCCCCGGGCUUGGUGUUGGGGAUCGGCGUGCCCUCGCGGCGCGCCGUCCCCUAAAUCUAGUGGCGGUCUCGCUGUAGCUUCCUCUGCGUAGUAGCAACACUCGCACUGGAUCGCAGCGCGGCCACGCCGUUAAACCCCCCACUUCUGAAAGUUUGACCUCGGAUCAGGUAGGAAUACCCGCUGAACUUAAGCAUAUCAAUAAGCGGAGGA
RNAcentral lists this unclassified non-coding RNA (344 nucleotides) under soil metagenome. Its description in RNAcentral is "partial contains 5.8S ribosomal RNA, internal transcribed spacer 2, and large subunit ribosomal RNA". The stretch from base 1 to 120 matches the Rfam family "5.8S ribosomal RNA", at positions 35 to 154 of the family's 154-position model. The record is from RNAcentral.